RNAcentral lists this ribosomal RNA (454 nucleotides) under uncultured bacterium. RNAcentral's name for it is "partial 16S ribosomal RNA". It matches the Rfam family "Bacterial small subunit ribosomal RNA", at positions 28 to 507 of the family's 1533-position model. The record is from RNAcentral.
GAUGAACGCUGACAGAAUGCUUAACACAUGCAAGUCCACUUGAACUUCGGUUUGGGUGGCGGACGGGUGAGUCACGCGUAAAGAACUUGCCUCACAGAUAGGGACAACAUUUGGAAACGAAUGCUAAUACCUGAUAUUAUGAUUAUAUGGCAUCGUAUAAUUAUGAAAGCUAUAUGCGCUGUGAGAGAGCUUUGCGUCCCAUUAGCUAGUUGGAGAGGUAACGGCUCACCAAGGCGAUGAUGGGUAGCCGGCCUGAGAGGGUGAUCGGCCACAAGGGGACUGAGACACGGCCCUUACUCCUACGGGAGGCAGCAGUGGGGAAUAUUGGACAAUGGACCAAGAGUCUGAUCCAGCAAUUCUGUGUGCACGAUGAAGUUUUUCGGAAUGUAAAGUGCUUUCAGUUGGGAAGAAAAAAAUGACGGUACCAACAGAAGAAGUGACGGCUAAAUACGUG